AAGCGGUGGAGUAUGUGGUUUAAUUCGAUGCAACGCGAAGAACCUUACCUAGGUUUGACAUCCGGAAACCUUCCCGAAAGGAAGGGUGCCCUUCGGGGAAUUCCGAGACAGGUGCUGCAUGGCUGUCGUCAGCUCGUGCCGUGAGGUGUUGGGUUAAGUCCCGCAACGAGCGCAACCCUAUUGCCAGUUGCUACCAGGUAAUGCUGGGCACUCUGGUGAGACUGCCCCGGUUAACGGGGAGGAAGGUGGGGACGACGUCAAGUCAUCAUGGCCCUUACGCCUAGGGCUACACACGUACUACAAUGGCGCAUACAAAGGGCAGCGAUACCGCGAGGUGGAGCCAAUCCCAAAAAGUGCGUCCCAGUCCGGAUUGCAGUCUGCAACUCGACUGCAUGAAGUUGGAAUCGCUAGUAAUUCGAGAUCAGCAUGCUCGGGUGAAUGCGUUCCCGGGCCUU
RNAcentral lists this ribosomal RNA (455 nucleotides) under uncultured Desulfovibrio sp. Its description in RNAcentral is "bacterial SSU rRNA". It matches the Rfam family "Bacterial small subunit ribosomal RNA", at positions 927 to 1382 of the family's 1533-position model. Lineage: Bacteria; Pseudomonadati; Thermodesulfobacteriota; Desulfovibrionia; Desulfovibrionales; Desulfovibrionaceae. The record is from RNAcentral.